CUUCUCAGCAAUUUCAGUAUUUUCGUUCAUAAGAUGCAGCUUUAUGUUAAAAUAUUAAAAACUCUGUUUCUUUACCUUGUGCGAUCAGGAAGAUAUGACGCAGAACAUCAAAAAGAAGCUGUGGGAUUCAGUGCAGGACGAUCAUAAAACUGCAGCAAUAAAAUACAGUAUUUUAUUUACCUUAUGUUUGCCAUAAUGCUGCUAAUUAUUUCCCUCUUUGGCUUUAAAUUAACCUACAAUCAAUGGCGCAAAGACAAUAUAAACACCUUACACCUCAUCUGAUGCCAGAAAAAGAAAAAGAAAGUGGAAGUUAAAAAAGGAACUUUCCCCUCAAGGUGUUUACCCCGCGCUCUAAGUCCUCUCCCACCCAAAAUAAAAUCAGCAGCUGCUCUGUAUUCAGCAUUCAUUGUCCUUUUUGCAACGAGUCGAGAAACAUGGAGGUUGGCAACCAUCUCCGCGUUCAGUCGUUCACGGGUGAGACGAAGCUCAUCUCCGGGUGGCAGAUGAUGACUGUCCAGCAGCUCAAGAUGGAAAUAAUGAAUGCGUUCCUGAUGACCAGCUACUGGUGCGUGGUGGGGGUCCACUGCAGGGACGCUUUGCGGCUCGUGUUCGAGGGGAAGCCGCUGGAGGAGGACUCUGCGCCGCUAGUCGAGUGUGGAAUCAAGAAUCUGGCUACUGUCCAGGUGGUGAAGAAGGUCACAGGAGGUUAACAGGGGGACAUCAUCAUCUUCAUCAUCCUCAUCAUCUUCAUCUUCAUCAUCAUCUCUUCUGUUUCUCCGUCUCAUCUACCUUCACCUUCAGAACAGAUGAACAACAUAGUUUUAUUGUCAUAUUCACAUGUUAAAUCCGUUUAAAUCCGACAGAGCAUUGUACACUUAAAAAAAAAAAAAAAACAUCUGCCACAAUAUUAUCUUUAUGAAUUUAACCCCAAAAUAAUGACAAAUAUGCAAUUUGCAUCUUUGCUCUACACAAAGUAGGAAGCACAACAAGAGCAGUAAUGAUGUAAAUAUUUAUUCUGUAUUUUCCUCAACUCAUUGUUGUUUUUCUUUCUUUCUUUCUUUUUACUUUUGUGUCAUGAGAUCAAAUAAAUUUCUCAGCAAAACAAAC
Molecule: long non-coding RNA, 1107 nt
Organism: Parambassis ranga (Indian glassy fish)
Lineage: Eukaryota; Metazoa; Chordata; Actinopteri; Ambassidae
Source: Ensembl